This 220-nucleotide ribosomal RNA is filed under the name uncultured Glomus. RNAcentral's name for it is "partial small subunit ribosomal RNA". It matches the Rfam family "Eukaryotic small subunit ribosomal RNA", at positions 591 to 816 of the family's 1831-position model. The record is from RNAcentral. Lineage: Eukaryota; Fungi; Glomeromycota; Glomeromycetes; Glomerales; Glomeraceae.
CCAAUAGCGUAUAUUAAAGUUGUUGCAGUUAAAAAGCUCGUAGUUGAAUUUCGGGGUCAGUAGGUUGGUCAUGCCACUGGUAUGUACUGGUCUCACUGAUUCCUCCUUCCUGAUGAGCCGUAAUGCCAUUAAUUUGGUGUUGCGAGGAAUCUGGACUGUUACUUUGAAAAAAUUAGAGUGUUUAAAGCAGGCUAACGCUUGAAUACAUUAGCAUGGAAUA